This 233-nucleotide unclassified non-coding RNA is filed under the name plant metagenome. Its description in RNAcentral is "partial contains small subunit ribosomal RNA, internal transcribed spacer 1, and 5.8S ribosomal RNA". The record is from RNAcentral.
UUUCCGUAGGUGAACCUGCGGAAGGAUCAUUAGUGAAUUUUAGGGCGUCUACUUGUAGAGCCUGACCUCCACUUUCUAGCUCUGUGCACUUAUUUGGCGGAAAAAGGGAAUAGUGAUUGUUUAACGACGAUUACGAAUUCCUUAUUUCUGCGGCUUACUUUAAACGCUAGUCAAAGUAUGUAACGAAAUAUCGAAAUACAAAAAAACUUUCAACAACGGAUCUCUUGGCUCUC